Molecule: ribosomal RNA, 253 nt
Filed under: uncultured bacterium
Lineage: Bacteria
Description: partial 16S ribosomal RNA
Rfam family: Bacterial small subunit ribosomal RNA
Source: RNAcentral
UACGUAGGGUGCAAGCGUUAAUCGGAAUUACUGGGCGUAAAGGGCGCGUAGGCGGCCUUCUAAGUCGAACGUGAAAUCCCUGGGCUCAACCCAGGAACUGCGUCCGAUACUGGAAGGCUUGAAUCCGGGAGAGGGAUGCGGAAUUCCAGGUGUAGCGGUGAAAUGCGUAGAUAUCUGGAGGAACACCGGUGGCGAAGGCGGCAUCCUGGACCGGCAUUGACGCUGAGGCGCGAAAGCCAGGGGAGCAAACGGG